Molecule: long non-coding RNA, 1739 nt
Organism: Syzygium oleosum
Lineage: Eukaryota; Viridiplantae; Streptophyta; Magnoliopsida; Myrtales; Myrtaceae
Exons: 2
Source: RefSeq, a predicted model, not a curated record
UACUUUAUCUCUUCAUACCUCUCGCUCUCUGUCUCUCUUAGAUUCCUCGUCGUCCUUCUUCUUCUUUUUCCACUUUUCUCCAUUGGAAGGUGAAAAGGACACCAAUCUUGAUGAUCCAGAGGCGAAGAUCUUUAUCUUCAUCUAUUCUCUCCGCUUUUGCACAUCCUAGAUCCUACUAAUUCCAAUAUCUGUAUCGAAGAUAAUCUCUCUUUCUUAUUUUUUUCUUUUGGGGGCGGCAUCCGGCCUCCGGUUAGGCUAGCUCAAGCCACUUCGUUUUCUUAUGGUCCAUGUAUUAGAUGUCAUAUCUUUGAAAGGGAAAAAAGAGAGUUUGCGUCGUAUAUCAUACAUGUAAGAUUGGCAAAUCUAGAGUUUGUUCCGUAUCCCACGUGCUUGUGCUUGUUCUAAGUCUUGAAACAAAGACUACCCUUCCUCCGGUCCUCAAAGCCGGGAUUUCGACUGGCAACAAGGAAUCGCCGCACGCAAAGUCAUUUUUUGCAGAUGCAGCAUCACCAAGAUUCACAUCGAUCCGAUCGCCAUGGCCUGGCGUGUGUAGAUCGUUUGUUCUUGGCAGUUGGCGCAAUUCGCUGAUGAUGAGAAUCUUGAUGAUGCUGCAUCAGCAAUACAUGACUAUAUCCCACAGUUCAAGAAGCUGAUUUUUGUUGGGACAAAAAGUUCAAGAAGCUGCUUGGUAAUUGCUGAACGCAGACGAGGGGAGGGGACUAGUCAGAAGUAUGAACAAGGGCAUAUUUUGAUGUCAGAAACGGUGACAGUUUUCCUUCCUUUUUCCCCAAUUUUUGCUCUGAUUAAAUGAUAUGAAGAUACAUAUUACCUGUUGGCUUAUACUUUCUAGAGAUUCUGGUAUGAAUUUCAUCAACUGCCAUGACUGAAUUAGGGUUUCUUUUCUUCCUUUUAAAGCUUCUAGGCAAUCCCAAAAUGGGGAGUAUUUUUCAGGUAAAACGUUUACACGCCCACACGAACAUUCUUCUCAAACUAGAGCCUAAAAAGCCUGUGUCAUCGAGCGUUUAGCUUCUUAUGGCACUUAAUUGUCAUAAUCUUACUACGUCUUGUAAGAUGCAGUUAUAUGUGCACCUAUGGUGAAACUCUGGCUGUGAUACUAUGACAAUGGAGUUCAGAUCGAAAGAACAGUUUUAUCAGGCGUUCGGCUAGGAAGAAAAAUGGACACUGAGGUUUGUUCUGGACAAAGAGCAACGCAUUUGCUCUCAGAGAUGGUCAGGUCACCUAUGUGUAGAAUGCGUUUACAGUCAUUCUCUCUCUUUUGGCAGGCGGUAUUUUAUGUUAAUUUUCACGCGCCGGAUCAAGUUCACUUUGGAUAUUCUCUCAGAGACUCGAGCACAAGUCAUUCAGUCCCAGUGGAAUGAUCUCGAAGCGACAUCACAUCAAAAAUCGAACCAGAGACCUCGAAAAACAUCUUGGGUUCUUCAUCCACCAACAGUUGGAGAAUAAGAACCCUAGGAGUUGGAUGACUUUCAUUAGGGUCAAGUAAAGGUUGAGACAAAAACCGUACGAAUGUAGCAAAGAUUUGCCUGCUCGUACAUCAACCAGAGUCAUUUCAUUCAUAUAUAGGAUUCGUCGUGGAUUUAUGUUUUUCCUAUAAAAGGCGGUUCUGCACAUGAUUAAAACAUGGUUUAUGGUGAGUCUGUGUUGUACCUACAAUACCUGGUUACUUUUGUCGAGUAAAACCACAUUUGAAUAAACCAUGAGAGUAUAAUUUAUUUGCC